GUCAAGUAAAGAAAUUGAGAAUUGGUGCCUACCUACUGGGACUGUGUUCCAUUGUGCCAGAAUGGAGGUGGAACAAAGAUAGACACCAUGAUUUGAGCAACUUACUUCCACUAAGACCUUCCACUAUGCUCCCAUUUCUGCCUUGGAGACAGAUGACCAUGGAUGGAAUCCACUGAAACUAUAUCAAAUGUGAAGCUAUUAGAUUCUGGUGCCAUGUCAAGCACAGCUCUUGAGACUGCAGGAGGAGGUUGGUGGAGGAUAAAGAAAUGAAGACAAGAGUCAGAAUGCAGAAGGCUGGUGUCAGGUGAAGCCCACUCUCCUAUGGGAAAAAGGAACUGCCCAACAACUGCAGUGCAUUUAUUUAUACAAUCAGCAGAAGGUAGAUGUCAGUUGGAAGUGAUGGGUGGUCAGUUGGAGUUGGAAGAGCUGUGUUUGGAGGACUCUGCAGAAGACCUUUCUUUUGGAAGGCUUUUCUUUUCUUCUCUUCCCCAAGAGUCCCCUGUGCAGUUUCUUCCAGUGAAGGCCUUCUUCAUCUCAAACCCAUUCCACUCUGAAUGGACUUACUCAUUUAGGCUAAAAAUUCCCAGUCCAAGGAUCUCAGGUUCCUGCAUUCAUCAGUUUAACCCUAUACAGCCUAUUAAACCAUAACAGUAGUCAGUUAUCAGUGUAGCUGGAAAUUGAUAGAAGGUUUCAAUGAGUUACUUUUUAUAGGUAGCAUAUUACUGCGGCAUUGUUUUAUACAUCUUGUGGUUAUAUUUUUUUGCUGGAUGUUCAAGACCAAGUUAAAGUGAGAUGUGUAUUAAUUAAAAUUAAUCUGUUGCUGUCUAUCAGUGUCAAUUAAGUCUCGUCAGGAUUUGCCUUGGAACCAUGUACAGUACCUCUCAGUUCUUCUGUCAGUGUCAGCCAUCUGGAUGAGUCAUGACCAUUGCUUAACCAAGUUGCUUUCUGUGAAAGCUGGAGAGACUUUUCUCUUCUGGUGACUUUUCUUAAACACAUUAUACCACUGAUCUCCUUUCUCUGUGGUCCAGCAGUCUCUUUGGUCAGGAGGUUGAGGACUCACUGAGUUAGAGGAUAUCACAGCAGAGGUUCUCUUAUGUCCUGGGUCUUCACUGACCCCAGAGGGACAGGGCCAAAACAUUGGCUUUCCUCCUAGCUCAUCUGUCUUUCCAGUUUUUGGUCUCCAAACCUCAGUUUUUGAACAUCUAGAAGAGAAGGUUAAUGGCCUUACAAUUUUUACCUGAACAUCAAAUACCUUGAAAUACAAAGCAUAGCCAGAGCACCAUUAUUUGCUACCAACCAUGGAUGUUCCAAAAGUUGAAUCCCUGCAGAAUGUUAGCAGACAACAGUUGUAUAGUUUUACCCAAAAAAUUGAGAUCAAAAGCCAUACAAAAUAUUUAGCAUGGCAGUCAUGGUGAC
Chinchilla lanigera (long-tailed chinchilla) is the source of this 1416-nucleotide long non-coding RNA. RefSeq lists it as uncharacterized. The transcript has 4 exons. Lineage: Eukaryota; Metazoa; Chordata; Mammalia; Rodentia; Chinchillidae. The record is from RefSeq and is a predicted model, not a curated record.